AACCAUAGAAACCUGCGGAGUACCUGCGGAAGGAUCAUUACACAAUACAAUAUGAAGGCUGUCCGCAGCUGGAGUAUUUUAUUACCCUUGUCUUUUGCGCACUUGUUGUUUCCUGGGCGGGUUCGCUCGCCACCAGGACCACCAAAUAAACCUUUUUUAUGCAGUUGCAAUCAGCGCCAGUACAAACAAUGUAAAUCAUUUACAACUUUCAACAACGGAUCUCAGAUCGGAAGAGCACAC
RNAcentral lists this unclassified non-coding RNA (240 nucleotides) under soil metagenome. RNAcentral describes it as "partial contains 5.8S ribosomal RNA, internal transcribed spacer 2, and large subunit ribosomal RNA". The record is from RNAcentral.